CAGCAGCCGCGGUAAUACGAAGGGGGCUAGCGUUGUUCGGAAUUAUUGGGCGUAAAGGGUGCGUAGGCGGUUUGGCAAGUUUGGUGUGAAAUCUUCGGGCUCAACUCGAAGUCUGCAUCGAAAACUGCCGGGCUUGAGUAUGGGAGAGGUGAGUGGAAUUUCCGGUGUAGCGGUGAAAUGCGUAGAUAUCGGAAGGAACACCUGUGGCGAAAGCGGCUCACUGGACCAUAACUGACGCUGAUGCACGAAAGCUAGGGGAGCAAACAGGAUUAGAUACCCGAGUAGUCCCUGUCUCUUAUAC
This 301-nucleotide ribosomal RNA is filed under the name uncultured bacterium. RNAcentral's name for it is "partial 16S ribosomal RNA". It matches the Rfam family "Bacterial small subunit ribosomal RNA", at positions 509 to 807 of the family's 1533-position model. The record is from RNAcentral.